RNAcentral lists this ribosomal RNA (379 nucleotides) under Phricotelphusa sirindhorn. RNAcentral describes it as "partial 16S ribosomal RNA". The stretch from base 1 to 187 matches the Rfam family "Archaeal large subunit ribosomal RNA", at positions 1922 to 2143 of the family's 2987-position model. The record is from RNAcentral. Lineage: Eukaryota; Metazoa; Arthropoda; Malacostraca; Decapoda; Gecarcinucidae.
UCUGUUUGAAGAUAUAAAGAGUCUGGCCUGCCCACUGAUUUAGGUAAUUGAAGGGCCGCGGUAUUAUGACCGUGCAAAGGUAGCAUAAUCAUUAGAUCUUUAAAUGGGAUCUUGUAUGAAUGGUUAGACAAAAGAAAAACUGUCUUUAUAAUAAGUUUGAAUUUAACUUUUAAGUGAGAAGGCUUAAAUAAUCUAAUGGGACGAGAAGACCCUAUAAAGCUUUAUAUUAAAGUUGUUUUUAAUUGAAUUUGAAAUAAUAAUGAUUUAAUGUAAUUGUAGUAUUAUGUUGGGGAGACAGAGGUAAAAUUUAUAAUAACUGCUUAAAAGUAAAACAAAUAUAGUUAUUUAAAAAGGAUCCUAUUAUAUGGAUUUAAAGAUU